CAAGCGUCCCUCGAGGUGACAUGGCAGCGGGUCCCUGGGAGGUGCUGGAGACAGACUUGGGACGCCCUGAGGCCACCGAGGAGCUGCCCGGGCAGGCGGGGAGCACUCAGAGGCAGCCGAGGAAGGACCGUGAGAAAAGAUGCCAAUGUGCUGGGGAGCAGCGACAGAGCGAAUAGCAGGUCCCAUGGCCUAAGGAGGAGAGAUCCCGACUUGGUGUCUCCGAGGAGGAUCAAGACGAGCGGGAGUUGAGCAUGCCAGAACCGGCGCCCCUCGGCGCAGACAAGAAAGCGGUGGAGAAGAAGCGUGCGGAGAAGGUGGGAGCGAAAGGCAGCACCUCCGUGCCCCCAGUCCCCAAGAGCCUCCCUGUGAAGAGGACAGUGGAGCCCCAAAGCCUCGACCCCAUGGAGGAGCCGCUCAUCUGGGAAGGGCUCACCCUCAACAAAUGCAUCCUCGUGGCCUCCUUCGUCGCCCUGCUCAGUGUCAGCUUCCAGGUGCUCCAAGCACCUUGCUCUAGGGAAGGAAUUAGCAGUGACAGACAGGCCCCUCCACCUCCACCCCUUCACGAGGUCAUUGACACCAAGGAGGACAUCCCAGAAGUGGUGGCUGCCCCACCGGUCCAACCCGAGAGCAGCCUGUUCGAGGACAGUGAUGGUGACGAUGACAGGGAAGAUGACAGUGAAGCUGACAGCAACCUGGCCGAGCCGUGGAUCUUCAAGAAAUGGUUUGGCCGCUUGGAGCAAGAGGACGAAGAGGAAGAACCCGAAGCCGAACCUGAGGAGCCACCAGCCAAGGUCGAGGUGAGGAAGAGCCGAGAGAAGCCCAGAGGCCCGGAGAGGAAAGAAGAGAAGCUCAGGGAAAGUCGUGCAGCCCAGGUGGAGAGGAGCAGCCGGAAGGAGACGCGACCCAAGGACAGAGCCCCUGAGGACAAGGCUGGCAGAACCCCAAGGGCACCCAAGGAGCCAGAGCAGCAGCCCUACAAGAAGCGGGGCCGGGAGGGCAAGGAGGGCAGGCGAGAAGGGAGGGAGCGCGAUGAGCACAAGAAAGAUGAGUGGAAGGGCCGCCCCGCCAAGGCUGACCGCGAGGACAACCGGAAGCGGGACUGGAGGCAGCAGCGAGGAGAGCAGAAGGGCAAGAAGCCCUGGGAGCAUCACACGUCUGCCCCGGGGAAGGACAGCACUGCCAGGCCCAGGGAAGGCAAGAAGCGUGACUGAGACCCCGGCCUGCGGGACUGGGAUGAACAAGGGGCUGAAUGACACUAAAUCCAGGGAGGGGGGGGGGUCCAAACUCCCCCAGCCUGGGCACUGCCACUGCAGCCAGCACCCCAGCAACCCCCCAGGGCCAAGAUCCACCCAUCUCCUACCACUCCCUGCCUGCUCUCCAGAGACACCCGGACUCCAUCUGUCUGCUGAAAUCCCCAGCCUCAGCCGUGCCUCCACCCCAUGCUUUGAGAGGAGCCAGCGGCUUGUGUGGUCAGAGCAUCAGGUGAAGACACCUGGGUCCUGUUUCCCACUCUGCCACCAGCUCGCUGGGAGACCCUGCCCAAGUCACAUCACUUCUUUAUCCUUCCGUCUCCCCCGUCCCCAAGCCGGGCAUCGCAGUCAGAGCAGGCAGGUGCUCCUGCACCUCCGAGCAGAGACACCAGGCAGUUAAAGCAGCCCAGGAGCAUGGCACAAGCCUCCCUGCGGACUUUGGGCCCCUCUGGAUUAGAUGCAUGAAGGCAAGCUGAAAGGACCGGGGAAAUGAGCUUCUCUCCACUUGGGCUUCAUGCUAAUUCUCCAUCCCCACCAGAAAUACCUCUUGCCAUUCACUUUUGCUUUGCAAACCAGGCCUGCCACACAGUACCUGAGGCAUCAGGAUGGUGCAGUCAGCAAGGAGCCGCUGUAGUGAUACCAGCGAACAGAGUUUGCCUGCAGACUGUUUAGCGCUUGAAUUCAAUUAAUUGUUUUAUUAAAAGCAAAUCAAGAGAGAAGUUUCUUCUAGGUUAAAGAAGCCGGGCUGCUGCCAUCCUUGGAUGGACUUCAGGGAAACAAGCACAAAGACCUAGCCAGGCCCUGGUGCCAUCGCCGCAGGAUGAAGCGAAGCUGGCUAGAAACAAAACCCCGCUGACGCAGCCCAUGGCCCUGGGCUCCCUUUGGGACUUGCCUUUACAGAGUAGCUUAUAGGAACAAACCAGAAGUGCAAUAUCUCACAGUGCUGUAGUAACUACAGGAGACGUUAACAGCCCCAAGCCGUGGCAGAUUGCAGUAUUUACUACAUCAAUAGAGGUUAAAAUAAACUAUUUUCAUUUUUAAUAACRUAUUAAAUU
This 2305-nucleotide long non-coding RNA is filed under the name Apteryx owenii (little spotted kiwi). RNAcentral's name for it is "lncRNA (ENSAOWG00000014412.1)". Lineage: Eukaryota; Metazoa; Chordata; Aves; Apterygiformes; Apterygidae. The record is from RNAcentral.